This 432-nucleotide unclassified non-coding RNA is filed under the name soil metagenome. RNAcentral's name for it is "partial contains 5.8S ribosomal RNA, internal transcribed spacer 2, and large subunit ribosomal RNA". The stretch from base 1 to 120 matches the Rfam family "5.8S ribosomal RNA", at positions 35 to 154 of the family's 154-position model. The record is from RNAcentral.
GAUGAAGAACGUAGCGAAAUGCGAUACGUAAUGUGAAUUGCAGAAUUCAGUGAAUCAUCGAAUCUUUGAACGCAUAUUGCGCUCUCUGGUAUUCCGGAGAGCAUGCUUGUUUGAGUAUCAGUAAACACCUCAACUUCCAUAUCUUUUUUGAAAUGGGAGUUGGACUUGAGUGAUCCCAACGCUUUUCCUCACCGAAAAGUGGCGGGUUACUUGAAAUGCAGGUGCAGCUGGACUUUUCUCUGAGCUAUAAGCAUAUCUAUUUAGUCUGCCUAAAAAACAGAUUAUUACCUUUGCUGCAGCUAACAUCAAGGAGAUUAGUUCUUGUGCUGACUGAUGCAGGAUUCACAAAGACGGCUUCGGCCGACUUUGUAAACUCGAUCUCAAAUCAAGUAAGACUACCCGCUGAACUUAAGCAUAUCAAUAAGCGGAGGA